CCUUUGUUUUUUGUUGCUAAAACGACGUCGAGCAAAGGUCUCAUUAAAGGACUAGCCACGCUUGUUGCCCAGGGCUUGUCUUGACAAUGGUUGUUCAUGGGAGAAUACUCUCGCGGUGAAACUAACGACGUCGUUCCUGGCAAAGUCUCAUCAAUGUCUGGGAUAAUAAAAAAGAAUUUUUUUUAAAAAACACACCGACUAAUUUCUAUUUGCUAAUAAAAUAAACAAACUAUUUUGGAUCUCUAUUUAAUACACGAACUAAUUUAUGUUGCCUAA
This 276-nucleotide long non-coding RNA is filed under the name Brassica napus (rape). RNAcentral describes it as "long non-coding RNA (BNAP_LNC022235)". The record is from RNAcentral. Lineage: Eukaryota; Viridiplantae; Streptophyta; Magnoliopsida; Brassicales; Brassicaceae.